GAUGAACGCUGGCGGCGUGCUUAACACAUGCAAGUCGAACGAAGCACCUUAUUUGAUUUCCUUCGGGACUGAUUAUUUUGUGACUGAGUGGCGGACGGGUGAGUAACGCGUGGGUAACCUGCCUUGUACAGGGGGAUAACAGUUGGAAACGGCUGCUAAUACCGCAUAAGCGCACAGCAUCGCAUGAUGCAGUGUGAAAAACUCCGGUGGUAUAAGAUGGACCCGCGUUGGAUUAGCUAGUUGGUGAGGUAACGGCGCACCAAGGCGACGAUCCAUAGCCGGCCUGAGAGGGUGACCGGCCACAUUGGGGCUGAGACACGGCCCAAACUCCUACGGGAGGCAGGAGUGGGGAAUAUUGCACAAUGGGCGAAAGCCUGAUGCAGCGACGCCGCGUGAGCGAAGAAGUAUUUCGGUAUGUAAAGCUCUAUCAGCAGGGAAGAUAAUGACGGUACCUGACGAAGAAGCACCGGCUAAAUACGUG
RNAcentral lists this ribosomal RNA (481 nucleotides) under uncultured bacterium. RNAcentral's name for it is "partial 16S ribosomal RNA". It matches the Rfam family "Bacterial small subunit ribosomal RNA", at positions 28 to 507 of the family's 1533-position model. The record is from RNAcentral.